AGCAGCCGCGGUAAUUCCAGCUCCAAUAGCGUAUAUUAAAGUUGUUGCAGUUAAAAAGCUCGUAGUUGAAUUUCGGGAUCAGUACGCCGGUCGUGCCUUCGGUAUGUACUGGUGUCACUGAUUCCUCCCUUCUGACGAACCGUUAUGCCAUUUAUUUGGUGUGGCGGGGAAUCAGGACUGUUACUUUGAAAAAAUUAGAGUGUUUAAAGCAAGCAUACGCUUGAAUACAUUAGCAUGGAAUAAUGAAAUAGGACGUUUGAUUCUAUUUUGUUGGUUUCUAGGAUCGACGUAAUGAUUAAUAGGGAUAGUUGGGGGCAUUAGUAUUCAAUUGUCAGAGGUGAAAUUCUUGGAUUUAUUGAAGACUAAUUACUGCGAAAGUAUUUGCCAAGGAUGUUUUCAUUAAUCAAGAACGAAAGUUAGGGGAUCGAAGACGAUCAGAUACCAUCGUAGUCUUAACCAUAAACUAUGCCGACUAGGGAUCGGAUGAUGUUAUUUUAAUGACUCAUUCGGCGCCUUACGG
This 520-nucleotide ribosomal RNA is filed under the name uncultured Glomus. RNAcentral describes it as "SSU rRNA". It matches the Rfam family "Eukaryotic small subunit ribosomal RNA", at positions 569 to 1093 of the family's 1831-position model. The record is from RNAcentral. Lineage: Eukaryota; Fungi; Glomeromycota; Glomeromycetes; Glomerales; Glomeraceae.